GACGAACGCUGGCGGCGUGCUUAACACAUGCAAGUCGAACGGAAAGGCCCUGCUCUUGUGGGUUGCUCGAGUGGCGAACGGGUGAGUAACACGUGAGUAACCUGUCCCUGACUUUGGGAUAACUUCACGAAACAGGGGCUAAUACCGGAUAGGAGCUCCUGCUGCACGGGGGGGGUUGGAAAGAUUCGGCCGUGGGGGAUGGACUCGCAGCUUAUGAGCUGGUUGGUGGGGUAGUGGUUUACCAAGGCUAUGACGGGUAGCCGGCCUGGGCGCGUAGCCAGCCACCUUGGGCCUACGAUACGGCCCAGACUCCUACGGGAGGCAGCAGUGGGGAAUAUUGCACAAUGGGCGGAAGCCUGAUGCAGCAACGCCGCGUGCGGGAUGCCGGCCUUCGGGUUGUAAACCGCUUUCGCAUGUGACGAAGCGUGAGUGACGGUAAUGGGUAAAGAAGCACCGGCUAACUACGUG
This 468-nucleotide ribosomal RNA is filed under the name uncultured bacterium. RNAcentral describes it as "partial 16S ribosomal RNA". It matches the Rfam family "Bacterial small subunit ribosomal RNA", at positions 28 to 507 of the family's 1533-position model. The record is from RNAcentral.